Non-coding RNA from Caenorhabditis elegans, 334 nucleotides. NCBI's taxonomy places the organism in Eukaryota, Metazoa, Nematoda, Chromadorea, Rhabditida, Rhabditidae. The record is from Ensembl.
AAUUUGGAUACUCGAUGCCAACAAAAGAUGAGAAAAAGGUGGAAGGAGCAGUAGCAGAUGUUUGAAUGACUAUUCAAUGUACUUCUGAAUGCAAUGACGGUAGAAACACAAAGAAGAUUUGAUUUCGUACGAGAAGAUGGUCACAUUGGAAGAAGAAUGAGUACGAUUGACGACUAUCAAAAUAAUGUGUGAGACUGUGUGGGUAAAGAGAGCGAGGCUAUUUACAACACGAUCCACACGCCCGACGAUUCUUUUUCACUGAUCGGCGACACGUGAUCAACAUGUGGCUGCGGUUGGGUUCACCCUUUUCUUUUUCCAACUGAUGCGAUCAUCU